AUGUGGAAUCAGCGCGUACAAGUCGUCAUUCAAACAAAGGUACUGCACUCUCAAAGACUGAAUGAACCAGCAUUGCAGCCCUGGGUCACUGUGAGCAUCACAGGGAAGGUUGAAGCCGCCCACUGCACCUGUAUGGCCGGAGUCUCGGAGACCUGCACCCAUGUCGCUGCUCUUCUGUUUAAUGUAGAUGCAACAGUGCGGAUCCGUGGCACAAGGACUGUUACAGAUGAACCUGCAUACUUUGGUUUUGCCUGGUAAUAUGACCAAGAUGCCAUAAGAUGGACUUCUCCUCUUCAGCUGCCCAAAAAAAGGCUCUUGAUCAAAACAUAAACAGACCAUCCGUAUUGAAAGGUAAAAGAAGCCGUCCUCAAAAAAGAAAAAUCCCAUCUGCUACUGAGGAGGCGUUGUCACUGCUAUAAUGCCAUAAUGUUUUAUCUAGGGGUCUAGAUUUAUGCCUGAAGUGCACUGACAUGUAAAUAAUUUGCAUUUACUGAAUAUGUACUGACUGAGUACCACUGUUCUAAAAAUUAAAUACAGAAACAAACUAAUUUUUGCCUCUUUUUUUUUUUUUUUUUAUUAAAACCACUUUAUAGAACAGGGGUCGGCAACCCUCGGCACGCGUUAACUGAUGGCACGACCAAUGCUGGACAGGCCAUCGGGCAUUUGCUCGGUGGCCCGGUGACUUUUUCUUCCCUUUGUAACGGUAUAAACAAUGAAAGGUGGUGGUUUGUCCAGAUGCUGGUCGGUGUGUAAAAAUAACUCAGUUGUGUCGUGGUGGCUAUGGCGGCGCUUCCUCAGAUUCAGUAAAAUUAGCAACUGGUGGAGGCCAGCAGGUGGAUGAGAGAAAAGGGAGGCAGGAGGAGGAGAGACCCGAGGCGGCCGAGUAUCAGGUGAACUGAACUUCAGGUAAGAAGUUAUGAAAAGGAACACAGUUUGUCCCGUACUUUAGCUAAAAUGAAAAAAAGACACAACGCUGGAUUUAUUCUGUCGUUACGCUGUCAGCUGCCUCUUCUUCUCUCGUUCUCUCCCCCUCCCUCUCCUGUUGCUACUUCAAUCAUGAAACGAUCAAUGAUCAGCUGAUCGGCUUCUCUCUUGUGUUUGUUUAUUUGCGCCAGAAAGAGGAAACCAGCGGAUGUCGCGCUAAACAACAGCAGCACGUUUAAGCUUGAUCAGCUGUUGUUAGAAUUUAUUUAAUAUUACUUUCUAGUAUCAGAUGAUGUUUGCUGGAGCCACAGCUGUAAAGCUGCUGGUCAUGAUGGUUUGUACAUCUGGUGAAAGGGAAGCAUGAAGAUGAAACCAGGAGAUGUCCUUACUGAAUCAUCAGAGCUGAACAGGUGAUGGAGAAACAGGUUUACCUUUUAGGUGACAUGGAUGAGUUGAAGGGAAGUUAUGAACUGUUUCUGAGAGACAAAUAACACCAGGAUCUGUUUCUAAAUAGCUGACAGCUGGUAACUGUGCAGGGGCGGGUUUUGGGACUUUCAGGUGUAUGGACCAAUGUUUUAUUUUCUGAUCAAACCAGAAAUCUUUAAUGAGCACCUAGAUUUGUCUCGCAUUAACUGGCUGAGUUAAUGCCAGUUAAUGCGACAUCGAAGCAGCUGGAAUCUACAGCUGUGCGUGUUCAUGGUGUUUGCAUUUUC
This 1637-nucleotide long non-coding RNA is filed under the name Oreochromis niloticus (Nile tilapia). RNAcentral's name for it is "lncRNA (ENSONIG00000037095.1)". The record is from RNAcentral. Lineage: Eukaryota; Metazoa; Chordata; Actinopteri; Cichliformes; Cichlidae.